Molecule: long non-coding RNA, 1990 nt
Filed under: Nicotiana tabacum (common tobacco)
Lineage: Eukaryota; Viridiplantae; Streptophyta; Magnoliopsida; Solanales; Solanaceae
Description: long non-coding RNA (NTAB_LNC011058)
Source: RNAcentral
GGUAAGAAAUUCACAACCAAAAGUUUUAAAUCUUCAAGACCCAAGUGUGUGUGCAAGAACCCUAGCUCCAAAACUUGUGUUUUCUAGUCAAGAAAUGUCAAAGAUGUGCAGAGAUUGGCCAAAGAUUGGCCAAAAGAUGAGCCAAAGAUAAUUUACAAUUGAGCUAGGUCGGGUAUUAAUGGGUUUGGGACCAAAAAAUAUGAAAUUACAGAAGUGCCCAAAACUGAAGCGCGAUACUCGCAUUUGCGAAGUGAGGAUCGCAAUUGCGAACAAUGGCAUUACUGUUGACCCUUGCAUUUGCGGUCUCAAAGUUUGCAUUUGCAAAUUUAAGCACUAUGCACUUGGUUUCACAUUUGCGAUGAAGUAAUUCUCAUUUGCGAAGGUUGACUUCGCAUUUGCGAUUCCUCCAUUGCAAUUGCGACUUCUGCUAUCUUUACUAACACUUCGCAUUUGCCAAGUUGAUGUCGCAAUUGCGACAUUUGAGGCUUUUGACUCUUUUUUACUUGGUUUCUUCAUGAUCACUUCUAAAUCACAUAGAACCUGUAAAAUAGAAGUAAACGACAUUAAACACAUAAUUUUAUCAAUCAAACAUAGCAAAAAUCUAAGCUUAAAGACGAAUCUUCAUGAUUGGCUUUCAUAACUAUGGCUGGAAGGUUCGCAUAGAAUUCCCUCAUCUAUUGCUCAUUCGCUCUGCAAGGUUGAGGGGCAAAACAGGUCCAUCCUAUGUCUACAAGCCUCUGAUGGAACUCGGGAAGAUGUUAUGGGACCUUUUCCAGCAAUAUACCACUUUUCAGGAGCAACUUCUUCGUAAUCAACUCGGCAUAGUAUCGUUCCUGGCAUUCCAAUGAUAAGAACCGGUGUUGGUCAUAGAUGUCCUCUACUUCCAAAGGGUUGUCAUGCGCGGAUUCGUCGGAGUUAGAGGUAAUUUUCAGCUUAUGGUACUUGUAAACAAAGUAUCAGAGUGAAAACGUAGUAUGGCUAUGAAAUAUAUUGCAAAAUGAGUCCAAUAUGCCAAAGAAAUGAUUGGACAGACAACCCAACCUUAGAAAAAAUUUCAAGAUUUUCAGUUCAGCAGAAGCCUGCUCUCUAAUGCCGCAAUUGCGAAGGCAGCAGGAAUCCACAGAGGUCGCAAUUGCGAAACAAUCAUCGCAAAUGCAAAAAUUGUUAGGUCUGAUAGUUUUCACAAUUACGGUAACCUUGUCACAAAUGCGAAAAGGCUAUCAAAAUUGCGAUGCCAUCGUCCCUAGGAGCUCUUCAAACCCAGAACAGUCCAGCCCCAAAAUUUUCUAACAAAAUCACAUUUUUAAAGAGUUCAAUUAGUUUUUAGGCACAAAAGCAUGCAAUAAACUUCACAUACAACCACUAAUUGAAGAAAUUUCAAUGAUUCGGCCAAGAAUCUCAUUCGGCCCUUUCAUCGAAUACAUAGUAAGCACACAAAAUCACUCCUAUUUUAACAAAGCCAUGGGUACUUAGACUUCCCCAUUUUUCAACUAAAGAGAAAUAAGCUCACACUCUCAACUAACCUCACCCAUAAAUCAACACAUGAUUUGACCAUUUUUUUCAAACAAUUUCGUACAAAAGAAAAUGACCCACUUUGAGCCCUAACUGUUGAGAGAUAAAGGAAAGAAGAAAAAGAUACUACAAGUCAUGAAGAACACAAAAAGUAAGCUUCCAUACCUUGAUACUUGCAAUUAAGAGUGAGAAACGGUGGAACUUGAGAGUUGGGAGAGUGAGUAAGAUACCGGUCGUUCAAUUUUAAAGCCUCAAAUUUUUUUGGGAACUUUUGUUAAAUGUUCAGCAAAACUCCGUUUUAGUGCCUCAGAGGUCACAAUUGUGACUGCGAGUUCGCAAUUACAAAUGAUGAAAAGUCAGCAGUGUUCGCAAUUGCGAUGGGCUAGUUGUUCGCAAAUGCGGACCGCUGUUCGCAAUUGCGAAAUUAGAGGCCUAGGCCUGAUUUUGUUUUCACUGCCCAAUCUCCCUACUUUAUAUC